CAUGGGGGCGAAUUGGGCCCUCUAGAUGCAUGCUCGAGCGGCCGCCAGUGUGAUGGAUAUCGUAACAAGGUUUCCGUAGGUGAACCUGCGGAAGGAUCAUUA
RNAcentral lists this ribosomal RNA (102 nucleotides) under Pythium aphanidermatum. RNAcentral describes it as "partial 18S rRNA". Lineage: Eukaryota; Oomycota; Peronosporomycetes; Pythiales; Pythiaceae. The record is from RNAcentral.